This 46-nucleotide transfer RNA is filed under the name Symphalangus syndactylus (siamang). Its description in RNAcentral is "partial tRNA-Asp". Lineage: Eukaryota; Metazoa; Chordata; Mammalia; Primates; Hylobatidae. The record is from RNAcentral.
AAGAUAUUAGAAAAACUAUUUCAUAACUUUGUCAAAGUUAAAUCAC